Molecule: ribosomal RNA, 253 nt
Filed under: uncultured bacterium
Lineage: Bacteria
Description: partial 16S ribosomal RNA
Rfam family: Bacterial small subunit ribosomal RNA
Source: RNAcentral
UACGAAGGGUGCAAGCGUUAGUCGGAAUUACUGGGCGUAAAGCGUGCGUAGGCGGUCUCUUAAGUCCGUUGUGAAAGCCCUGGGCUCAACCUGGGAACUGCAGUGGAUACUGAGAAGCUAGAGUGUGUCAGAGGAUGGUGGAAUUCCCGGUGUAGCGGUGAAAUUCGUAGAUAUUGGGAAGAACACCGGUGGCGAAGGCGGCGAGCUGUACCAUUACUGACGCUGAGGCGCGACAGCGUGGGGAGCAAACAGG